RNAcentral lists this ribosomal RNA (1037 nucleotides) under uncultured bacterium. Its description in RNAcentral is "bacterial SSU rRNA". It matches the Rfam family "Bacterial small subunit ribosomal RNA", at positions 51 to 1066 of the family's 1533-position model. The record is from RNAcentral.
AGACAUGCAAGUCGCACGGGAUUGAUUGAGUAGUAAUACAAGAUCAGUCUAGUGGCGCACGGGUGAGUAACACGUGAAUGACAUGCCCUUCAGUGGGGAAUAGCCCAGGGAAACUUGGAUUAAUACCCCAUGGUAUCUUGCCCUCAGAAGCAAGAUUAAAGGUGGCCAGCAAUGGCUGUCGCUGAAGGAUUGGUUCGCGCCCUAUCAGCUUGUUGGUGAGGUAACGGCUCACCAAGGCUACGACGGGUACCUGGUCUGAGAGGACGAUCAGGCACACUGGAACUGAGACACGGUCCAGACACCUACGGGUGGCAGCAGUCGAGAAUAAUUCACAAUGGGGGCAACCCUGAUGGUGCAACGCCGCGUGGAGGAUGACGGUCUUCGGAUUGUAAACUCCUGUCAUCUGGGAGUAAGGCGUAGUUGUUAACAGCAAAUACGAUUGAUAGUACCAGAAGAGGAAGGGACGGCUAACUUCGUGCCAGCAGCCGCGGUAAUACGAAGGUCCCGAGCGUUGUUCGGAAUCACUGGGCGUAAAGGGAGCGUAGGCGGCGCGGUAAGUCAGAUGUGAAAUCCCGGGGCUCAACCCCGGAACUGCAUCCGAUACUGCCGUGCUAGAGUGAUGGAGAGGUAGCUGGAAUUCACGGUGUAGCAGUGAAAUGCGUAGAUAUCGUGAGGAACACUCGUGGCGAAAGCGAGCUACUGGACAUUUACUGACGCUGAGGCUCGAAGGCUAGGGUAGCGAAAGGGAUUAGAUACCCCUGUAGUCCUAGCAGUAAACGGUGCACGCUUGGUGUGAGGGGAAUCGACCCCCCUUGUGCCGGAGCUAACGCGUUAAGCGUGCCGCCUGGGAAGUACGGUCGCAAGACUAAAACUCAAAGAAAUUGACGGGGACCCGCACAAGCGGUGGAGUAUGUGGCUUAAUUCGAUGCAACGCGAAGAACCUUACCAAGGCUUGACAUGCAUCUCUAAACACGUGAAAGCGUGUGACCCUUCGGGGAAUUUGCACAGGUGCUGCAUGGCCGUCGUCAGCUCGUGUC